RNAcentral lists this transfer RNA (71 nucleotides) under Taibaiella sp. Its description in RNAcentral is "tRNA-Gln". It matches the Rfam family "tRNA". Rfam says of the family: Transfer RNA (tRNA) molecules are approximately 80 nucleotides in length. Their secondary structure includes four short double-helical elements and three loops (D, anti-codon, and T loops). Lineage: Bacteria; Pseudomonadati; Bacteroidota; Chitinophagia; Chitinophagales; Chitinophagaceae. The record is from RNAcentral. RNAcentral also lists the same sequence under 2 other names.
AGUUCCAUGGUGUAAUGGUAGCACAACAGUUUUUGGUUCUGUUUGUCUAGGUUCGAAUCCUGGUGGAACUA